CGGCGGACGGGUUAGUAACGCGUGGGAAUAUACCCUUUGGUACGGAAUAGCCUCUGGAAACGGAGAGUAAUACCGUAUGAGCCCUUCGGGGGAAAGAUUUAUCGCCAAAGGAUUAGCCCGCGUUAGAUUAGGUAGUUGGUGGGGUAAUGGCCUACCAAGCCUACGAUCUAUAGCUGGUUUUAGAGGAUGAUCAGCAACACUGGGACUGAGACACGGCCCAGACUCCUACGGGAGGCAGCAGUGGGGAAUCUUGGACAAUGGGGGCAACCCUGAUCCAGCCAUGCCGCGUGAGUGAUGAAGGCCUUAGGGUCGUAAAGCUCUUUCGCCUGUGAAGAUAAUGACGGUAGCAGGUAAAGAAACCCCGGCUAACUCCGUGCCAGCAGCCGCGGUAAUACGGAGGGGGUUAGCGUUGUUCGGAAUUACUGGGCGUAAAGCGCACGUAGGCGGACUGGAAAGUUGGGGGUGAAAUCCCAGGGCUCAACCCUGGAACUGCCUCCAAAACUAUCAGUCUAGAGUUCGAGAGAGGUGAGUGGAAUUCCGAGUGUAGAGGUGAAAUUCGUAGAUAUUCGGAGGAACACCAGUGGCGAAGGCGGCUCACUGGCUCGAUACUGAC
RNAcentral lists this ribosomal RNA (613 nucleotides) under Ruegeria atlantica. Its description in RNAcentral is "bacterial SSU rRNA". It matches the Rfam family "Bacterial small subunit ribosomal RNA", at positions 96 to 744 of the family's 1533-position model. Lineage: Bacteria; Pseudomonadati; Pseudomonadota; Alphaproteobacteria; Rhodobacterales; Roseobacteraceae. The record is from RNAcentral.